Potamilus streckersoni is the source of this 77-nucleotide non-coding RNA. NCBI's taxonomy places the organism in Eukaryota, Metazoa, Mollusca, Bivalvia, Unionida, Unionidae. The record is from the annotation of a GenBank genome assembly.
GACCGCUCCGGUGGCCAAGUGUUUUGAGCAUCCACCUCGAAUGUUGGAGGUCGCGGGUUCGAACCCCGGUCGAGUCA